AUCAAUCAACUUAUUUCUUUUCAGUUUUACAGGAUUUAUUGCAAGAAUACUGGGAAUUAGAAGAAUAAAUAAUCAGAGUAAAUUUGUAUUUUUAAUUUCUGAAGGAAACCUAAUGAGAUAUAUGAUGUGUAUUGAUAAUCCUCAAGAAGAUUUAGCAAAGAGGAUUGAAUUGCAUCAGAUUGUCAUCAUUAAACGAUCCAGACCAAAGCUUGGAAUUCUUCGUGAGUUAAUUAAUGAUCCUCUCAUAAAUGAAUUCAGAUUUGAAAUUAAUAACAUAAGGAAUUUGAAAAUUACAAAGAUAAUAUUAGGACUUGAUGACUUCAUAAAUAUGCCUAAUUUUGAAAUUGAACUUGAAUCGGAAAAUGAAGAAUAAAUACUUGAUAAGGAAAUUAUUAACUAAGUCAUCCUUGGAUCUUAACGAUGGAAUACUCAAACAAAAAAAAUACUGAACUAAUUAAUAAAUGAUCAAAAAUAAAAUUAAUUAAAAGAAGAUGAAUGAUUAAAAA
This 506-nucleotide long non-coding RNA is filed under the name Cotesia glomerata. Its description in RNAcentral is "uncharacterized LOC123271204". The record is from RNAcentral. Lineage: Eukaryota; Metazoa; Arthropoda; Insecta; Hymenoptera; Braconidae.